UACGUAGGGUGCGAGCGUUGUCCGGAAUUAUUGGGCGUAAAGAGCUCGUAGGCGGCCUGUUACGUCUGCUGUGAAAGCCCGGGGCUCAACUCCGGGUCUGCAGUGGAUACGGGCAGGCUAGAGUCCGGCAGGGGAGACUGGAAUCCUGGUGUAGCGGUGAAAUGCGGCAGAUAUCAGGAGGAACACUGGUGGCGAAGGCGGGUCUCUGGGCCGGUACUGACGCUGGAGGAGCGAAAGCGUGGGAGCGAACAGG
This 253-nucleotide ribosomal RNA is filed under the name uncultured bacterium. Its description in RNAcentral is "partial 16S ribosomal RNA". It matches the Rfam family "Bacterial small subunit ribosomal RNA", at positions 524 to 776 of the family's 1533-position model. The record is from RNAcentral.